This 72-nucleotide transfer RNA is filed under the name Ornithorhynchus anatinus (platypus). It matches the Rfam family "tRNA". From Rfam's summary of the family: Transfer RNA (tRNA) molecules are approximately 80 nucleotides in length. The record is from Rfam by way of RNAcentral. Lineage: Eukaryota; Metazoa; Chordata; Mammalia; Monotremata; Ornithorhynchidae.
AGCAGUGUGGCUUAGUGGAAAAAGCAUUGGCAUGGGAGUCAGAGGUCAUGGGUUCUAAUCCCGGCUCUGUCA